UUAAGCGACUAAGCGUACACGGUGGAUGCCCUGGCAGUCAGAGGCGAUGAAGGGCGUGCUAAUCUGCGAUAAGCGCCGGUAAGGUGAUAUGAACCGUUAUAACCGGCGAUACCCGAAUGGGGAAACCCAGUGUGACUCGUCACACUAUCAUUAACUGAAUCCAUAGGUUAAUGAGGCGAACCGGGGGAACUGAAACAUCUAAGUACCCCGAGGAAAAGAAAUCAACCGAGAUUCCCCCAGUAGCGGCGAGCGAACGGGGAGGAGCCCAGAGCCUGAAUCAGCAUGUGUGUUAGUGGAAGCGUCUGGAAAGGCGCGCGAUACAGGGUGACAGCCCCGUACACAAAAGCGCAUGUGCUGUGAGCUCGAUGAGUAGGGCGGGACACGUGGUAUCCUGUCUGAAUAUGGGGGGACCAUCCUCCAAGGCUAAAUACUCCUGACUGACCGAUAGUGAACCAGUACCGUGAGGGAAAGGCGAAAAGAACCCCGGCGAGGGGAGUGAAAAAGAACCUGAAACCGUGUACGUACAAGCAGUGGGAGCNAUAGGGGAGCCGGAGGGAAACCGAGUCUUAAUUGGGCGUUAAGUUGCAGGGUAUAGACCCGAAACCCGGUGAUCUAGCCAUGGGCAGGUUGAAGGUUGGGUAACACUAACUGGAGGACCGAACCGACUAAUGUUGAAAAAUUAGCGGAUGACCUGUGGCUGGGGGUGAAAGGCCAAUCAAACCGGGAGAUAGCUGGUUCUCCCCGAAAGCUAUUUAGGUAGCGCCUCGUGAAUUCAUCUCCGGGGGUAGAGCACUGUUUCGGCUAGGGGGCCAUCCCGGCUUACCAACCCGAUGCAAACUGCGAAUACCGGAGAAUGUUAUCACGGGAGACACACGGCGGGUGCUAACGUCCGUCGUGAAGAGGGAAACAACCCAGACCGCCAGCUAAGGUCCCAAAGUCAUGGUUAAGUGGGAAACGAUGUGGGAAGGCCCAGACAGCCAGGAUGUUGGCUUAGAAGCAGCCAUCAUUUAAAGAAAGCGUAAUAGCUCACUGGUCGAGUCGGCCUGCGCGGAAGAUGUAACGGGGCUAAACCAUGCACCGAAGCUGCGGCAGCGACGCUUAUGCGUUGUUGGGUAGGGGAGCGUUCUGUAAGCCUGUGAAGGUGGCCUGUGAGGGUUGCUGGAGGUAUCAGAAGUGCGAAUGCUGACAUAAGUAACGAUAAAGCGGGUGAAAAGCCCGCUCGCCGGAAGACCAAGGGUUCCUGUCCAACGUUAAUCGGGGCAGGGUGAGUCGACCCCUAAGGCGAGGCCGAAAGGCGUAGUCGAUGGGAAACGGGUUAAUAUUCCCGUACUUGGUGUUACUGCGAAGGGGGGACGGAGAAGGCUAUGUUGGCCGGGCGACGGUUGUCCCGGUUUAAGCGUGUAGGUGUGUGUUCCAGGUAAAUCCGGUUCACUUUAACACUGAGGCGUGACGACGAGGCACUACGGUGCUGAAGCAACAAAUGCCCUGCUUCCAGGAAAAGCCUCUAAGCAUCAGGUAACAUCAAAUCGUACCCCAAACCGACACAGGUGGUCAGGUAGAGAAUACCAAGGCGCUUGAGAGAACUCGGGUGAAGGAACUAGGCAAAAUGGUGCCGUAACUUCGGGAGAAGGCACGCUGACACGUAGGUGAAGUGAUUUACUCAUGGAGCUGAAGUCAGUCGAAGAUACCAGCUGGCUGCAACUGUUUAUUAAAAACACAGCACUGUGCAAACACGAAAGUGGACGUAUACGGUGUGACGCCUGCCCGGUGCCGGAAGGUUAAUUGAUGGGGUCAGCGCAAGCGAAGCUCCUGAUCGAAGCCCCGGUAAACGGCGGCCGUAACUAUAACGGUCCUAAGGUAGCGAAAUUCCUUGUCGGGUAAGUUCCGACCUGCACGAAUGGCGUAAUGAUGGCCAGGCUGUCUCCACCCGAGACUCAGUGAAAUUGAACUCGCUGUGAAGAUGCAGUGUACCCGCGGCAAGACGGAAAGACCCCGUGAACCUUUACUAUAGCUUGACACUGAACAUUGAGCCUUGAUGUGUAGGAUAGGUGGGAGGCUUUGAAGCGUGGACGCCAGUCUGCGUGGAGCCGACCUUGAAAUACCACCCUUUAAUGUUUGAUGUUCUAACGUGGACCCGUAAUCCGGGUUGCGGACAGUGUCUGGUGGGUAGUUUGACUGGGGCGGUCUCCUCCUAAAGAGUAACGGAGGAGCACGAAGGUUGGCUAAUCCUGGUCGGACAUCAGGAGGUUAGUGCAAUGGCAUAAGCCAGCUUGACUGCGAGCGUGACGGCGCGAGCAGGUGCGAAAGCAGGUCAUAGUGAUCCGGUGGUUCUGAAUGGAAGGGCCAUCGCUCAACGGAUAAAAGGUACUCCGGGGAUAACAGGCUGAUACCGCCCAAGAGUUCAUAUCGACGGCGGUGUUUGGCACCUCGAUGUCGGCUCAUCACAUCCUGGGGCUGAAGUAGGUCCCAAGGGUAUGGCUGUUCGCCAUUUAAAGUGGUACGCGAGCUGGGUUUAGAACGUCGUGAGACAGUUCGGUCCCUAUCUGCCGUGGGCGCUGGAGAACUGAGGGGGGCUGCUCCUAGUACGAGAGGACCGGAGUGGACGCAUCACUGGUGUUCGGGUUGUCAUGCCAAUGGCACUGCCCGGUAGCUAAAUGCGGAAGAGAUAAGUGCUGAAAGCAUCUAAG
Molecule: ribosomal RNA, 2687 nt
Filed under: Salmonella enterica subsp. enterica serovar Weltevreden
Lineage: Bacteria; Pseudomonadati; Pseudomonadota; Gammaproteobacteria; Enterobacterales; Enterobacteriaceae
Description: bacterial LSU rRNA
Rfam family: Bacterial large subunit ribosomal RNA
Source: RNAcentral